This 253-nucleotide ribosomal RNA is filed under the name uncultured bacterium. RNAcentral's name for it is "partial 16S ribosomal RNA". It matches the Rfam family "Bacterial small subunit ribosomal RNA", at positions 524 to 776 of the family's 1533-position model. The record is from RNAcentral.
UACGUAGGGUCCGAGCGUUGUCCGGAAUUACUGGGCGUAAAGAGCUCGUAGGUGGUUUGUCGCGUUGUUCGUGAAAACUCACAGCUCAACUGUGGGCGUGCGGGCGAUACGGGCAGACUGGAGUACUGCAGGGGAGACUGGAAUUCCUGGUGUAGCGGUGGAAUGCGCAGAUAUCAGGAGGAACACCGGUGGCGAAGGCGGGUCUCUGGGCCGAUACUGACGCUGAGGCACGAAAGCGUGGGGAGCAAACAGG